AGACCUUUAUAAUUGAAGUUCCUUCAGACUCAGUACCCCCAGGAUUAAGAAUAAGAUAAGCGGGAAACUUUGAGUCCUUCAAAGUUGAAGAACAGGUAGCUCUCUGCAUAUCCAUAUCUGCACAUAGAGCAACCCUGGAACAUUUUUUUGAUGAAGCUCUAACCGGUUUGAAACUAGGAGAUUUUGUUAAAGUCCUCACCAUCUUCAAACUAGAUGUCCUUGUUAAAGUUCUAGCAGGUUUAUUACAAGAACCAGAGCUACUUUUUGAACCAGUUGAACUUCUACUACGCAGAUUCUUGCUAUCAGAACCAGUUUGAGUAUUCCGGGAACUCACCUGAGAAACCUCCUUUUUGGCCUCUGAACUGCUGGUGGACUUCAUGUAGUUUGGUGAUCCAUCCACAGCUUUGAUCACAGACUUCUUCUGUGGGGUUGCUGCAGC
This 439-nucleotide long non-coding RNA is filed under the name Theobroma cacao (cacao). RNAcentral describes it as "long non-coding RNA (TCAC_LNC005720)". The record is from RNAcentral. Lineage: Eukaryota; Viridiplantae; Streptophyta; Magnoliopsida; Malvales; Malvaceae.